UAGCUUAGUUGAUAAAGAAUCUGCCUGCAAUGCAGGAGACCUGGGUUCAAUUCCUGG
RNAcentral lists this transfer RNA (57 nucleotides) under Bos taurus (domestic cattle). It matches the Rfam family "tRNA", at positions 8 to 63 of the family's 71-position model. From Rfam's summary of the family: Transfer RNA (tRNA) molecules are approximately 80 nucleotides in length. Lineage: Eukaryota; Metazoa; Chordata; Mammalia; Artiodactyla; Bovidae. The record is from Rfam by way of RNAcentral.